Podarcis raffonei (Aeolian wall lizard) is the source of this 1646-nucleotide long non-coding RNA. RefSeq lists it as uncharacterized. The transcript has 3 exons. NCBI's taxonomy places the organism in Eukaryota, Metazoa, Chordata, Lepidosauria, Squamata, Lacertidae. The record is from RefSeq and is a predicted model, not a curated record.
ACACACAUAUGGGGGGGAGGGAAUCAUUUCCCCUGCAAAAUGUCGAUAUAUUCUCAUUGAUUUCCAGGGGGGCGAGGUCUACACGCGCACAUUCCAGGCUGUAAAAUGAAGUCGCGCUUACCAGGGAAAAGUUCAGCCCCACUGGACACAGUGGGGGGUUAUUCCUCACAGCCAAAUAAAUAUGCCGCCUGGGCGCUCCCUCCCCCGCCAGUUUCAAGGAAUGUGCUUAAACAUGGCUGGAUCCGCGCGUCCUCUACUUGCCGGAAGCGGAGCGAAAACAGGAGCCAGUCCGGAUCAAAGGGAGACUGGAGACGAGCUCCAGAAAACGGGGACGCGGAGACUUGGAGCCCAGAGGUUUCAAUCAUGGUGAAAAUCAGCCAAGGGCGCAGCACCAGCGCUCCCGCCGCCGCCUCCUCCUCCUCCUGCGCCGCUAAUGUACAUCCUGGAUGCUGAAGUCUGUCUAAGCUAAAAAGAAUUUCCUUUUUGGAGGAGAAAGCCUCCAGCUCCUUCUGUUCAGAGGAAAGUGCCAGUGAUGUAAAUGCGGGGUGACACUAAAUAAACAGGCUCUGAAAAGAAUUCCAAACCCUUGGCAUAAUAAGUGGAUUGUACGGAUCUUUUCUACUUUCCUCAAGCACAAUUUGCACAACAAGAAAAGAGGAGAGCCGCUCUCGGUAACAUAAACCUCUCGGAUUGGAAAAGGAAGAGGAAGAAUAAGGAGGAAUAAGCUAAGAGGCGGAGAGCGCGAGACGCGAAAGAACAAUCGCCGGGUGCCCCUCUUUCCGGGUCAUUACGGUACUGCUGGUCUCCAAUCAAUCCUAAUGCGAUGGCAAUUGGAGUCCCCGAUGAACGCAUCUCAGGUUUCGUGUAAUGGCUCUACCACAUUUUCCUGGACCCCCUUCUUUAACCUGAGAUGCCAGGGGGACGAGUCUCUUUUCAGCUGCUGAUUGCUUCAAGAUGUGGGGACUUGGGGGGGGGAGGGGAGCGAGAAAGUCUUGGGAUAGCCAGAAACUGUUUGUUGUUAGUCUAAGCUGUUUAUUUAAUCAACAGAACAAAGCAGAUUUUUCUCUCUUCUUCCAUUUCUUUCUGCAACGCUCCCUCCAUCUGUUCGGGAUUCGGAAUUCCGCCUCCCACGUGAGCCAAGUUUCCAGUUUUGUAAUACUGAGCUGCUGUCUCUGUUUACUAACAAACAGAUCACUUGGAAAGGACUAAGGGUUUAUUCUAGCCAGAACCUACAAAGGCUGAUUAUGAUUAUGAUUAUGAUAUUUACAAACCACUUAAGGUCAAAACAGACUUCUAAAUGGUUUGCGAAUUUUAUUUUAUUUUAAACCAGUUCAUACAAACCUUAGAAUGGAAUCUGCAAUAGAAUAAUCCCAUUAUUUGACCCCAGAAAACUGUGAAGGUCUUUUAUGUGCAGAGUGCCAAUGACAGCAGUAGCCCAAGACGUUUCUGCACCUGAAACCAAGCGUCACAAUGAUUUCUUAAUAUUUCUUAUUUAUUUGUUAGAUGUAUAUCCACCCCCAUCCUUGGAUCAAGUUACAACAGAAGUUUUUAUUUAUUUUUGUUCUCUUACAUAUAUAAAAAGGAGUGUUCAUAUCCCACACUUUCAUUGUAAAAACCAUGCAUUGGGGACUCACAUCAGGUAUUUU